CGCCCGCGUCCAACGCCCAGGCUCAGCGGCCGCUCCGCCCGGGAGUCGAACCAGCGCCCCAGCGUGGACCCUGAGCGCCGUCGGAACGGCGUUAGCGCCCAGGGGGUCACAACCCAGCUUGCUGGAAGGAAACUUGGGGACAUCUGUAAGGAGAGGAAUAGGAAAGACCCGAGGAGAAGCAGUAAAGGAGGUAGAAGCAACUCGCGCUGUUUUGGAGGAGAGUUUCUAGAAGGGUGUGUUAAAUUCAGCAAAGUAUUGAGAAAGAUCAAGACCAAAAAUUGUAGUUAGAUUUAGGAAGGAGGAGGUAACGGAACUUCAAAAGCAAAAUUUCGGGGAGCUAGAAAGGGAAAAUGGAGUCAGGAGGAGCCUUGUCGAAAAACUGGAAGAUGUGAAGGCUCUUACCCUGAGAGAAAAAGGAAGCCAUUGGAGGAUUUUGAACAGAGAAGUGAUGUGAUCUAAGUUUUAAAAGAAUAGGUCUGACUGCUGCAUUGUGAAGAGACUGUAUGUGGGGCAAGAGAGGAAGCCAGGAGACCAUAGGAGGUGAGAAAAAGGGCGUUGCGGAUCCUUUGGAGCCAAGGACUGGAACUGCCAUGCAAGACCUCUGCCAACUGAGGGUUUCAUGAGCACACUCCCUUGCCAAGAUCUUGCCUCCAACUCUGAAGUGGAAAGAGAAGUGGCCUGUUCAGGAGAGCAAGACACGACUGAGGAGCCUGGCUUUGGAUGAAGAACCACAACUAUGAGAACCAUGUGGAAAGGAUAUAAGUAUCCCCCAGGAGGGACCCCGGUGGAAAUAAGCAAAGAUGAUCCUGGUGAAGUCAUGCAGCUCUGAAGCUCACCUGGCCUGCUGUAGAGUUCCUGUUGUUGGUUUCGCAUAAAGUAAUUGCACAUUA
This is an RNA transcript of Leopardus geoffroyi (Geoffroy's cat), 890 nucleotides long. It is a transcript of the gene named SPTY2D1 opposite strand, with no coding region annotated. The transcript has 6 exons. NCBI's taxonomy places the organism in Eukaryota, Metazoa, Chordata, Mammalia, Carnivora, Felidae. The record is from RefSeq and is a predicted model, not a curated record.